Molecule: ribosomal RNA, 588 nt
Filed under: Pichia terricola
Lineage: Eukaryota; Fungi; Ascomycota; Pichiomycetes; Pichiales; Pichiaceae
Description: LSU rRNA
Rfam family: Eukaryotic large subunit ribosomal RNA
Source: RNAcentral
UAGCGGAGGAAAAGAAACCAACAGGGAUUGCCUCAGUAGCGGCGAGUGAAGCGGCAAGAGCUCAGAUUUGAAAUCGCCUCGGCGAGUUGUAAAUUGCAGGUUGGAGUCUUUGUGGCGGCGUGUGUCUAAGUCCCUUGGAACAGGGCGCCAUUGAGGGUGAGAGCCCCGUGCGGCACGCGUCUAAGCUUUAAGACCCUUCUGACGAGUCGAGUUGUUUGGGAAUGCAGCUCUAAGUGGGUGGUAAAUUCCAUCUAAGGCUAAAUACUGGCGAGAGACCGAUAGCGAACAAGUACUGUGAAGGAAAGAUGAAAAGCACUUUGAAAAGAGAGUGAAACAGCACGUGAAAUUGUUGAAAGGGAAGGGUAUUGGGCUCGACAUGGGGACUGCGCACCGUUGCUUCUUGUAGGCGGCGCUCUGUGCGGUUUCUGGGCCAGCAUCAGUUUUUGCCGCGGGAGAAUGGGGGGAGGAACGUGGCUCUUCGGAGUGUUAUAGCCUCUCUCAGAUGCCGCGAGCGGGGACUGAGGUCUGCGAUUCGUUCAAGGAUGCUCGGCACAACGGCGCAAUACCGCCCGUCUUGAAACACGGACC